This 253-nucleotide ribosomal RNA is filed under the name uncultured bacterium. RNAcentral's name for it is "partial 16S ribosomal RNA". It matches the Rfam family "Bacterial small subunit ribosomal RNA", at positions 524 to 776 of the family's 1533-position model. The record is from RNAcentral.
UACGUAGGGGGCAAGCGUUGUCCGGAAUUAUUGGGCGUAAAGAGCGUGUAGGCGGUCCGGUAAGUCGGCUGUGAAAGUCCAGGGCUCAACCCUGGAAUGCCGGUGGAAACUGUCGAGCUAGAGUCCGGAAGAGGCGAGUGGAAUUCCUGGUGUAGCGGUGAAAUGCGCAGAUAUCAGGAGGAACACCAAUGGCGAAGGCAGCUCGCUGGGACGGUACUGACGCUGAGACGCGAAAGCGUGGGGAGCAAACAGG